GAAUCUUACGCUAUGUGGAUUUGUGAAACAAGAAUAAAAAUUCGUUCUUUCUUUUUCUUCUUCAAGAAACAAGAAUCUAUUUUUCUCCCAUUUUCAUCACACCCAUUACACUUCCGAUUCUUCCAAAAUCUCUCACAUUCUCACAGAUUCUUCCAAAAUCACACUUCGAACUCACAAUCUCGUGUUUCUCCUUUCUCCGUCGAUUCUUCAAUGAUCAUUUGUGUGCAUCUUCCGCAUCCCGUGAUUCUUCAAUCAUAAAUUUUCAAGUCAAUUUCUGAAUCAAUUGAUUGCGGGCUGAGGUAGAAGGCGAAUAAGAGACCUAUGAUGUAAAAAUAGGGAUGAGGUAGAUAGCAAAAAAGAUAGAUACUCCAUGAUGCAAUAAUAGGAUCCGCAGGAGCUUACGCAUAUCUCAGAUUGUUACAGGGAAAAAGUCUCAAAGUUGACUAUGGCGCAAGGGAUGAGGUAGAAAGCAAAAAAGAUAGAUACUCCAUGAAGCAAUAAUAGUGGAAUUGUGUUUGCUAAAGCUGAACCGAGCUGGUGGAUCAGCAGGAGCUUAAACAUAUCUCCGAUUGUUACGGGAAAAAGUCUCAAAGUUUACUAUGAAGCAAGAGGAUAUGAGAAGACUGGAUAAAAUAUAACUGAAGGUGCACCUGUAUGGAUGAAGCUAUUGAUGCAUAUAUAAGCCUCUACAAAGGCAUAUAAUCCUCCAAAGUUCAAAGUUCUUAUGAAGGAAUAUAUAAGCCGCUGCAAAGGCAUGCUUUCUCCUACCUUAUUUAUCUUUUUUGUCCGGAUAUGAAUUCAAAUAUUGUGUGUUCUAGAGUGGAUUGGUGAGCUGACCCAAGCCCAAUACCACCUCUUCGACUAUAUAAGUCUCACAUCAUCACCUAUGAAGGUACAUCUCAUUAUAAACGUCUCUCUAACUCAAAAGUUUGAAGGACAUAAAUUAACUUAAAAACUAAGACAAAAAAUAUUGCUUGAUGGAAGCAUAAAUUCACUUUAAUUAACCCGGUAUUGGGUCGAGGCCCUUGGUCGAAUAAAAUAUGAAAGACCAUCAGGUAGCCUUUAUAUUAAAGCACAUGCAUUCUUCACACAUCUAUGUUAUGCAGCUUCUAUCACUAUGGCGUUUGGUUUAGUUGUCUGAUUCGUCUUUCUUCUUCUCAAGUAAAGACUGAACGCAUUGUGAUAAAUACUAUAGUUUCUUGAUAAAACUAAAACCUCUAUGAAUGUUGGUUGGAUCAAAAUUUAAUUGGGUAUACAAACCCUAUAAGACUAUAUAUCAUUGUGAGAUGGAAAUCUUUUUUCAUCAUCUGAAAAACGAGUGGAUGAUGUCCUUCAAUGCAAUUUUUAUAUGAA
Molecule: long non-coding RNA, 1353 nt
Organism: Trifolium pratense (red clover)
Lineage: Eukaryota; Viridiplantae; Streptophyta; Magnoliopsida; Fabales; Fabaceae
Exons: 10
Source: RefSeq, a predicted model, not a curated record